This is a long non-coding RNA of Amblyraja radiata (thorny skate), 241 nucleotides long. RefSeq lists it as uncharacterized. The record is from RefSeq and is a predicted model, not a curated record. NCBI's taxonomy places the organism in Eukaryota, Metazoa, Chordata, Chondrichthyes, Rajiformes, Rajidae. The transcript has 3 exons.
CCGACUCCCAGGUAUCUGAAAAUGGAUGAGAUCUAGAGGGAUUUCCGCAGUAAACUCACCCUGUUGGAGCGCAGGCUGAAAGCCCUCCAUGGAUCUGUGUUUCCCCCUGUCCCCCAUUGUCGAAAACUCACCCCACGACGAGAUAUACCCUCGUACCCGAAGUGCACUCUCUCCCCUGAAACAAUCGAGGCAUUGAAAACCCCAACCUUUGACGUCUGGCAGUGGGCUCCAAAUGAGGUAA